GGGAGUCAGACUGCGAGUGAUAAGAUCCGUAGUCGAAAGGGAAACAGCCCAGACCACCAGUUAAGGUCCCCAAAUAUAUGUUAAGUGGAAAAGGAUGUGGGGUUGCUUAGACAACCAGGAUGUUGGCUUAGAAGCAGCCACCAUUGAAAGAGUGCGUAAUAGCUCACUGGUCGAGUGACCCCGCGCCGAAAAUGUACCGGGGCUAAACAUAUUACCGAAACUGUGGAUGAACCUCUUUAGAGGUUCGUGGUAGGAGAGCGUUCUAAGGGCGGUGAAGUCAGACCGGAAGGACUGGUGGAGCGCUUAGAAGUGAGAAUGCCGGUAUGAGUAGCGAAAGAAGGGUGAGAAUCCCUUCCACCGAAUAUCUAAGGUUUCCUGAGGAAGGCUCGUCCGCUCAGGGUUAGUCGGGACCUAAGCCGAGGCCGAUAGGCGUAGGCGAUGGACAACAGGUAGAGAUUCCUGUACCAGUGCUAAUUGUUUAACCGAUGGGGUGACACAGAAGGAUAGGGAAUCGCACGAAUGGAAAUGUGCGUCCAAGCAGUGAGUGUGAGAAGUAGGCAAAUCCGCUUCUCGCGAAG
Molecule: ribosomal RNA, 578 nt
Filed under: Listeria monocytogenes
Lineage: Bacteria; Bacillati; Bacillota; Bacilli; Caryophanales; Listeriaceae
Description: bacterial LSU rRNA
Rfam family: Bacterial large subunit ribosomal RNA
Source: RNAcentral